Molecule: ribosomal RNA, 252 nt
Filed under: uncultured bacterium
Lineage: Bacteria
Description: partial 16S ribosomal RNA
Rfam family: Bacterial small subunit ribosomal RNA
Source: RNAcentral
UACGGAGGAUCCAAGCGUUAUCCGGAUUUAUUGGGUUUAAAGGGUGCGUAGGCGGCUUUUUAAGUCAGGGGUGAAAGACGGUGGCUCAACCAUCGCAGUGCCCUUGAUACUGAAGAGCUUGAAUGAAUUAGAGGUAGGCGGAAUGUGACAAGUAGCGGUGAAAUGCAUAGAUAUGUCACAGAACACCAAUUGCGAAGGCAGCUUACUAUGGUUUUAUUGACGCUGAGGCACGAAAGCGUGGGGAUCAAACAG